RNAcentral lists this ribosomal RNA (1346 nucleotides) under uncultured bacterium. RNAcentral describes it as "partial 16S ribosomal RNA". It matches the Rfam family "Bacterial small subunit ribosomal RNA", at positions 28 to 1381 of the family's 1533-position model. The record is from RNAcentral.
GACGAACGCUUGCGGCGUGCUUAACACAUGCAAGUCGAACGGAAAGGCCCUGCUUUUGUGGGGUGCUCGAGUGGCGAACGGGUGAGUAACACGUGAGUAACCUGCCCUUGACUUUGGGAUAACUUCAGGAAACUGGGGCUAAUACCGGAUAGGAGCUCCUGCUGCAUGGUGGGGGUUGGAAAGUUUCGGCGGUUGGGGAUGGACUCGCGGCUUAUCAGCUUGUUGGUGGGGUAGUGGCUUACCAAGGCUUUGACGGGUAGCCGGCCUGAGAGGGUGACCGGCCACAUUGGGACUGAGAUACGGCCCAGACUCCUACGGGAGGCAGCAGUGGGGAAUAUUGCACAAUGGGCGGAAGCCUGAUGCAGCAACGCCGCGUGCGGGAUGACGGCCUUCGGGUUGUAAACCGCUUUCGCCUGUGACGAAGCGUGAGUGACGGUAAUGGGUAAAGAAGCACCGGCUAACUACGUGCCAGCAGCCGCGGUGAUACGUAGGGUGCGAGCGUUGUCCGGAUUUAUUGGGCGUAAAGGGCUCGUAGGUGGUUGAUCGCGUCGGAAGUGUAAUCUUGGGGCUUAACCCUGAGCGUGCUUUCGAUACGGGUUGACUUGAGGAAGGUAGGGGAGAAUGGAAUUCCUGGUGGAGCGGUGGAAUGCGCAGAUAUCAGGAGGAACACCAGUGGCGAAGGCGGUUCUCUGGGCCUUUCCUGACGCUGAGGAGCGAAAGCGUGGGGAGCGAACAGGCUUAGAUACCCUGGUAGUCCACGCUGUAAACGGUGGGUACUAGGUGUGGGGUCCAUUCCACGGGUUCCGUGCCGUAGCUAACGCUUUAAGUACCCCGCCUGGGGAGUACGGCCGCAAGGCUAAAACUCAAAGGAAUUGACGGGGCCCCGCACAAGCGGCGGAGCAUGCGGAUUAAUUCGAUGCAACGCGUAGAACCUUACCUGGGUUUGACAUGGAUCGGGAGUGCUCAGAGAUGGGUGUGCCUCUUUUGGGGUCGGUUCACAGGUGGUGCAUGGCUGUCGUCAGCUCGUGUCGUGAGAUGUUGGGUUAAGUCCCGCAACGAGUGCAACCCUUGUUCACUGUUGCCAGCACGUUAUGGUGGGGACUCAGUGGAGACCGCCGGGGUCAACUCGGAGGAAGGUGGGGAUGACGUCAAGUCAUCAUGCCCCUUAUGUCCAGGGCUUCACGCAUGCUACAAUGGCUGGUACAGAGAGUGGCGAGCCUGUGAGGGUGAGCGAAUCUCGGAAAGCCGGUCUCAGUUCGGAUUGGGGUCUGCAACUCGACCUCAUGAAGUCGGAGUCGCUAGUAAUCGCAGAUCAGCAACGCUGCGGUGAAUACGUUCCCGGGGCU